GAACGCUGGCGGCGUGCCUAAUACAUGCAAGUCGUACGCUUCUUUUUCCACCGGAGCUUGCUCCACCGGAAAAAGAGGAGUGGCGAACGGGUGAGUAACACGUGGGUAACCUGCCCAUCAGAAGGGGAUAACACUUGGAAACAGGUGCUAAUACCGUAUAACAAUCGAAACCGCAUGGUUUUGAUUUGAAAGGCGCUUUCGGGUGUCGCUGAUGGAUGGACCCGCGGUGCAUUAGCUAGUUGGUGAGGUAACGGCUCACCAAGGCCACGAUGCAUAGCCGACCUGAGAGGGUGAUCGGCCACAUUGGGACUGAGACACGGCCCAAACUCCUACGGGAGGCAGCAGUAGGGAAUCUUCGGCAAUGGACGAAAGUCUGACCGAGCAACGCCGCGUGAGUGAAGAAGGUUUUCGGAUCGUAAAACUCUGUUGUUAGAGAAGAACAAGGAUGAGAGUAACUGUUCAUCCCUUGACGGUAUCUAACCAGAAAGCCACGGCUAACUACGUGCCAGCAGCCGCGGUAAUACGUAGGUGGCAAGCGUUGUCCGGAUUUAUUGGGCGUAAAGCGAGCGCAGGCGGUUUCUUAAGUCUGAUGUGAAAGCCCCCGGCUCAACCGGGGAGGGUCAUUGGAAACUGGGAGACUUGAGUGCAGAAGAGGAGAGUGGAAUUCCAUGUGUAGCGGUGAAAUGCGUAGAUAUAUGGAGGAACACCAGUGGCGAAGGCGGCUCUCUGGUCUGUAACUGACGCUGAGGCUCGAAAGCGUGGGGAGCAAACAGGAUUAGAUACCCUGGUAGUCCACGCCGUAAACGAUGAGUGCUAAGUGUUGGAGGGUUUCCGCCCUUCAGUGCUGCAGCUAACGCAUUAAGCACUCCGCCUGGGGAGUACGACCGCAAGGU
Molecule: ribosomal RNA, 893 nt
Filed under: Enterococcus durans
Lineage: Bacteria; Bacillati; Bacillota; Bacilli; Lactobacillales; Enterococcaceae
Description: bacterial SSU rRNA
Rfam family: Bacterial small subunit ribosomal RNA
Source: RNAcentral